RNAcentral lists this long non-coding RNA (598 nucleotides) under Ficedula albicollis (Collared flycatcher). Its description in RNAcentral is "lncRNA (ENSFALG00000027768.1)". The record is from RNAcentral. Lineage: Eukaryota; Metazoa; Chordata; Aves; Passeriformes; Muscicapidae.
UUUGUGUCAGUAUCUUUCAGAUUUUAGCUCCAGGAUUACUGGAGUGUCUUUUCCAUUCAUAUUAUCCAUCUAAUCAACUCAUUGUUGUUGUUGCUACCUAAAAAGGAAAGGUGAGUGGAGAGGCACAUUUUAAGGGUAAUGACUUACUAGCCUUUGAGAUGAAACCUUGGACUCUCUUCUGGGCAGAAUAAUUGAUCACUUCAAACUGAUUCUCAGUGUCCCGAAGAUGAGACCUGGCCUGGAAGGCUGUCUGGAUGGGGAACAGAACCAUUUUUGCAACAAAAUUUGGAAGAUGAGAACCUGAUGGAAACUGCAGUGCUGAUGCUACUGGGAUCACACACAGAUGCAUUCCCUUCGAGUGUGACUGUCCUGCAAAUCAGAGUGCUCAUUUUUAAUUAAAGUGCAAAAAAGAAACACUGGGAAUGAUGUUAAAUUGUUUUGAUUUGACCUAUCCUGGAUUCAUGGUUACGCCUCUUAGUUAGCAAUUUGUUACUGCAUUUAUGAAAAAGAAAGAAUUCAGGAGCUAAAACCAGAAUUUGGAACAGUUGUUUUGAUUCUGAAUAGCUGCUCUGUUUAAUCAUCCACCUCUUAUUGUCAG